UGGGGAAUAUUGGGCAAUGGGCGAAAGCCUGACCCAGCAACGCCGCGUGAAGGAAGAAGGCCCUCGGGUUGUAAACUUCUUUUCUAUGGGACGAAGAAGUGACGGUACCAUAGGAAUAAGCCACGGCUAACUACGUGCCAGCAGCCGCGGUAAUACGGAAGGUCCGGGCGUUAUCCGGAUUUAUUGGGUUUAAAGGGAGCGCAGGCCGCCCCUUAAGCGUGUUGUGAAAUGCCGCGGCUCAACCGUGGCACUGCAGCGCGAACUGGGGGGCUUGAGUGCGCCGGAGGUAGGCGGAAUUCGUGGUGUAGCGGUGAAAUGCUUAGAUAUCACGAAGAACUCCGAUUGCGAAGGCAGCCUACCGUAGCGUUACUGACGCUGAGGCUCGAAGGUGCGGGUAUCGAACAGG
RNAcentral lists this ribosomal RNA (406 nucleotides) under uncultured bacterium. RNAcentral's name for it is "bacterial SSU rRNA". It matches the Rfam family "Bacterial small subunit ribosomal RNA", at positions 355 to 776 of the family's 1533-position model. The record is from RNAcentral.